This 1126-nucleotide long non-coding RNA is filed under the name Parus major (Great Tit). Its description in RNAcentral is "lncRNA (ENSPMJG00000012943.1)". Lineage: Eukaryota; Metazoa; Chordata; Aves; Passeriformes; Paridae. The record is from RNAcentral.
AGCAAAACCACUGAGUUACUCAUCACAAGUGAUGACCGACAUCCCAUCUGCAAUGCAAAUGUGUGGGGAUAACUAUGGAAAAAGAGCUUUUUCACAGCUUCAUGAGCAAGUUAAGAAGCAACUGAACAACUGGAGACACACACAAACAGAAGGCAUGGGCAGCAGCCAGGACAGCAUCUCCAGGCACUCCAUAUGUGGACUUUCUGUUGCCUACAGCAAAUAAACUUUUGAAGCCAGCAGUGGUAGGAAAGCUGACAGAAUGAAUUAAAAAGUGGCAGCAGGGAGCCAAAUACUGCAGUAACAGAGGUUACAGGGAACUCCCUGAACUCUGGGCAGGACAGGCAGUGAGAGGGUUGCCAGUGACAGAGAAAAGCAGCAGAGGACAGGAUGGGUACACACAAGGAACCUUCAAGGUCAGGAGAGGCAGAAGUAGCAGACAACUGUAAUUACUAUAACUGCAGUUUUUAGGAGGCCAUGGAGAAACAGUUUCCCUUGAGGGAUGACAGAAAUACAAAUUCCUGCAUGGAAGUAGGUGUAGAACAGCAGACGGCCAUGAACAUGUGGGGAUCAUUUCCUGGAAGCAUUCAGGAGCUGUCAAAGAAGCUGCCAGAUUUCUCUUUUCAGAACAGAAAUCUCUAGAGAGUGAAUGACAAGAGGACAUCAGGCUCCAACUGGACAAAAUGCAAGCAAGCCAAAUUUGCCUAGAAAUUCCUGAAAUCCCAUGUUUAGGGCUGGCAGAGGGAGCUGACAUCCUGCGUUCUGCCGCGAUGUUUCGCCUCGCGCUGCAAACAUUUCACCUGGGUCUGCUGAAGCACAUGGCAAGGAGCAUAUUUUCUCUGCUGACUUUAAAAGGAAUCUACUUUCAACCCAGGAAUCUUAAUUCUUGGAUAGCUUUAGUGAGGCAGAUGAAUCCCACUCAGUGGUCACCAGGGGACAAUCCAGCUGUCUAGACAAGAGCUCUGUGCGAUUUCAGAUACCUCAGGCAUCACACCUGGCUGCACCCAUGGAUGCCUUGUUACAUCUGCCAGCUGCACGCAAUGCCUCUGAAAAUAUAAAACAUCUAGCUAUGUUUCAUCAGGAAAACUGCUUUAUGAAAAUGUUUUAUGGACUCAUCAAGACACUGGAU